UUUUUUUUUUUUUUGCUGCUAUAGUCUCCCAGUGAUAUGAGCAGUUGUACGCAUGCGAUAAAAUAAUAUUAGACCAUUGUAAAUUGAGAUGAAGUAACCAUUUUCAUCUCUUCUGUGUGUACUAGACAUUG
Molecule: small nucleolar RNA, 131 nt
Organism: Carlito syrichta (Philippine tarsier)
Lineage: Eukaryota; Metazoa; Chordata; Mammalia; Primates; Tarsiidae
Source: Ensembl